RNAcentral lists this ribosomal RNA (122 nucleotides) under Staphylococcus aureus. Its description in RNAcentral is "partial 23S ribosomal RNA". It matches the Rfam family "Bacterial large subunit ribosomal RNA", at positions 2803 to 2925 of the family's 2925-position model. Lineage: Bacteria; Bacillati; Bacillota; Bacilli; Caryophanales; Staphylococcaceae. The record is from RNAcentral.
GAUGAGAUUUCCCAACUUCGGUUAUAAGAUCCCUCAAAGAUGAUGAGGUUAAUAGGUUCGAGGUGGAAGCAUGGUGACAUGUGGAGCUGACGAAUACUAAUCGAUCGAAGACUUAAUCAAAA